AACGAACGCUGGCGGCAUGCCUAACACAUGCAAGUCGAACGAGACCUUCGGGUCUAGGGGCGCACGGGUGCGUAACGCGUGGGAACCUUCCCUUAGGUUCGGAAUAACUCUCCGAAAGGGGUGCUAAUACCGGAUAAUGUCUUCGGACCAAAGAUUUAUCGCCUUUGGAUGGGCCCGCGUUGGAUUAGCUAGUUGGUAGGGUAAAAGCCUACCAAGGCGACGAUCCAUAGCUGGUCUGAGAGGAUGAUCAGCCACACUGGGACUGAGACACGGCCCAGACUCCUACGGGAGGCAGCAGUGGGGAAUAUUGGACAAUGGGCGAAAGCCUGAUCCAGCAAUGCCGCGUGAGUGAUGAAGGCAUUAGGGUUGUAAAGCGCUUUUAACCGGGAUGAUAAUGACAGUACCGGGAGAAUAAGCUACGGCUAACUCCGUG
This 433-nucleotide ribosomal RNA is filed under the name uncultured bacterium. Its description in RNAcentral is "partial 16S ribosomal RNA". It matches the Rfam family "Bacterial small subunit ribosomal RNA", at positions 29 to 507 of the family's 1533-position model. The record is from RNAcentral.